Molecule: ribosomal RNA, 514 nt
Filed under: Opisthoteuthis sp.
Lineage: Eukaryota; Metazoa; Mollusca; Cephalopoda; Octopoda; Opisthoteuthidae
Also listed under: 1 other name
Description: partial 16S ribosomal RNA
Rfam family: Bacterial large subunit ribosomal RNA
Source: RNAcentral
GUCUCUUUGUUUUUUAUAUAUAAGGAGUCGGGCCUGCUCAGUGAUAUUGUAUUUAACAGCUGCAGUGUAAUAGCUGUACUAAGGUAGCAUAAUAAUUUGCCUUAUAAAUUAAGGCUAGAAUGAAUGGUUUGACGAAAGUUGAUCUGUCUCUUAUUUAUUUAUUAGAAAUUAAUUUUUAUAGUGAAAAAGCUUUAAUUAAUUAAAGGGACGAGAAGACCCUAUUGAGCUUUUAUCAAAUAUAUAUAAAAUUAUUUUAAAAUUAUAUAGGAAAUGAUUUUGAUUGGGGUGAUCGAGGAAUAAGAUAAAAUUAAUAACUUCCUUAAAAUAAUUAAAAGAUUGAUAAAUUAAUUAACCAAUAUUUUGCUUACGUGAAUAAGUUACCAUAGGGAUAACAGCGUAAUUUUUUUAGAGAGUUCUUAUUGAUAAAAAAGAUUGCGACCUCGAUGUUGGAUUAAAAUAACCUUAAGGUGAAGAAGCUUUAAUAGGUGAAUCUGUUCGAUUUUUAAAAUUUUAC